Molecule: non-coding RNA, 127 nt
Organism: Triticum aestivum (bread wheat)
Lineage: Eukaryota; Viridiplantae; Streptophyta; Magnoliopsida; Poales; Poaceae
Source: Rfam
AUAUUACUCCCUCCAUCCGGAAAUACUUGUCGAAGAAAUGGAUAAAAAUGAAUGUAUCUAAAACUAAAAUACGUCUAUAUAUACAUUCAUUUUUUCGACAAGUAUUUUCGGACAGAGGGAGUAGUAU